RNAcentral lists this long non-coding RNA (482 nucleotides) under Medicago truncatula (barrel medic). Its description in RNAcentral is "long non-coding RNA (MTRU_LNC008386)". Lineage: Eukaryota; Viridiplantae; Streptophyta; Magnoliopsida; Fabales; Fabaceae. The record is from RNAcentral.
UUUGCAACGUGUAAAGAUAUACAAUUUACAUCAAAAUAAAAAAGAGAAUAAUAAUAAUACAUAAAAAAGAGAAUAAUAAUAAUUGUAUCAAAUUAACUAUUGAUAAUUUUUCACUAUGACUUAACUCAGUUGGGGUUCAAACCCUGACCACCAUAAUAAAAAAAAUCUAUUAAAAGAUAAACACCGAAUAUAAACAUUGCAAUGAAGCAAUUUGGUUCAAGCUUUCUAAAUCUAAGGAGCGACAUCGCUAAAGAUGAGGAGUUAAAUUUCUCGACAUAAAUCACUCAAGAACUCCUAAAUCAAGUUAAUAGACUUGUGAUUUUCGUGGACCUAUUUGAAUGUGAACGUCCCUAAAAUAUAAUUAAAUUUAGUAUCAAUUUAUAAAAGAUUAAGAGUCCUUUUCUUUAUGACAAAAAACUAAAAGUGAAAACUCAAAAGUGACAUUCCUCCUUAUUCCUUUAUUCUUUCCUUUUUAUUCUUUU